This 468-nucleotide ribosomal RNA is filed under the name uncultured bacterium. RNAcentral describes it as "partial 16S ribosomal RNA". It matches the Rfam family "Bacterial small subunit ribosomal RNA", at positions 28 to 507 of the family's 1533-position model. The record is from RNAcentral.
GACGAACGCUGGCGGCGUGCUUAACACAUGCAAGUCGAACGGAAAGGCCCUGCUUUUGUGGGGUGCUCGAGUGGCGAACGGGUGAGUAACACGUGAGCAACCUGCCCUUGACUUUGGGAUAACUUCAGGAAACUGGGGCUAAUACCGGAUAGGAGCUCCUGCUGCAUGGUGGGGGUCGGAAAGUUUCGGCGGUUGGGGAUGGACUCGCGGCUUAUCAGCUUGUUGGUGGGGUAGUGGCUUACCAAGGCUUUGACGGGUAGCCGGCCUGAGAGGGUGACCGGCCACAUUGGGACUGAGAUACGGCCCAGACUCCUACGGGAGGCAGCAGUGGGGAAUAUUGCACAAUGGGCGGAAGCCUGAUGCAGCAACGCCGCGUGCGGGAUGACGGCCUUCGGGUUGUAAACCGCUUUCGCCUGUGACGAAGCGUGAGUGACGGUAAUGGGUAAAGAAGCACCGGCUAACUACGUG